RNAcentral lists this ribosomal RNA (253 nucleotides) under uncultured bacterium. RNAcentral describes it as "partial 16S ribosomal RNA". It matches the Rfam family "Bacterial small subunit ribosomal RNA", at positions 524 to 776 of the family's 1533-position model. The record is from RNAcentral.
GACAGAGGCCUCGAGCGUUAGGCGGAAUCACUGGGCUUAAAGCGUGUGUAGGCGGGCCCGUAAGUGUCUUGUGAAAUCCCACGGCUCAACCGUGGAACUGCUGGGCAUACUGCGGGUCUUGGGCCAACUAGGGGCAGCCGGAACAAAUGGUGGAGCGGUGAAAUGCGUAGAUAUCAUCUGGAACGCCAAUGGUGUAAACAGGUUGCUGGGGGUGUGCUGACGCUGAGACACGAAAGCCAGGGGAGCGAACGGG